RNAcentral lists this ribosomal RNA (429 nucleotides) under uncultured bacterium. RNAcentral describes it as "bacterial SSU rRNA". It matches the Rfam family "Bacterial small subunit ribosomal RNA", at positions 917 to 1420 of the family's 1533-position model. The record is from RNAcentral.
GGACCCGCACAAGUAGUGGAGCAUGUGGUUUAAUUCGAAGAUACGCGCAGAACCUUACCAACACUUGACAUGUUCGUCGCGACUCUAAGAGAUUAGAGUUUUCGGUUCGGCCGGACGAAACACAGGUGCUGCAUGGCUGUCGUCAGCUCGUGUCGUGAGAUGUUGGGUUAAGUCCCGCAACGAGCGCAACCCUCACUUUUAGUUGCCAUCAUUAAGUUGGGCACUCUGAAAGAACUGCCAGUGAUAAGCUGGAGGAAGGUGGGGAUGACGUCAAGUCCUCAUGGCCCUUACGUGUUGGGCUACACACGUGCUACAAUGGUAUCUACAACAGGAAGCAAGACUGCGAGGUCAAGCAAAUCAGAACGUUGCGGUGAAUACGUACCUUGGCUUUGUACACACCGCCCGUCACAUGCAGAAAGUUAGUUUUAC